AUUGAACGCUGGCGGCAGGCCUAACACAUGCAAGUCGAGCGGAUGAAGGGAGCUUGCUCCUGGAUUCAGCGGCGGACGGGUGAGUAAUGCCUAGGAAUCUGCCUGGUAGCGGGGGAUAACGUCCGGAAACGGGCGCUAACACCGCAUACGUCCUGAGGGAGAAAGUGGGGGAUCUUCGGACCUCACGCUAUCAGAUGAGCCUAGGUCGGAUUAGCUAGUUGGUGGGGUAAAGGCCUACCAAGGCGACGAUCCGUAACUGGUCUGAGAGGAUGAUCAGUCACACUGGAACUGAGACACGGUCCAGACUCCUACGGGAGGCAGCAGUGGGGAAUAUUGGACAAUGGGCGAAAGCCUGAUCCAGCCAUGCCGCGUGUGUGAAGAAGGUCUUCGGAUUGUAAAGCACUUUAAGUUGGGAGGAAGGGCAGUAAGUUAAUACCUUGCUGUUUUGACGUUACCAACAGAAUAAGCACCGGCUAACUUCGUG
RNAcentral lists this ribosomal RNA (484 nucleotides) under uncultured bacterium. Its description in RNAcentral is "partial 16S ribosomal RNA". It matches the Rfam family "Bacterial small subunit ribosomal RNA", at positions 30 to 507 of the family's 1533-position model. The record is from RNAcentral.